CUCCAAGGUGACCGCGUUACCGCCAUGCAAGGUACUUCAUUGGAAGCUAAAAGGAAUACCAGCGCGUAUUUCUCGAAAUAGCGGACUAAAACUGGCACGUUACUGAAAAAUAAUGGAUUAUACUUGAAGCUGAUGAUGUUGUGACCAUAGGAUUGCAAGGAGAGAGGAAAGGACUGGAUACCACGGUAGCAAUGGGGGAAAAGUGAUGACAUAGAGUCACAUGACUUGAUGCCACAUCGCGGAGUGGACGCCUCAGAGACUUCUUACAGUACUUGAUAAAUUUUCGCACGGUGCACUAAAUAACCCAGGGCCAAAACACCAGACAAUACAACAAUGGGACCAACAAUACACAAUUGAUCGGCCAACGCAACUGUUAUAUUGCGUCAUAAUUCAUAACCAUGACGUAAUAAACAGACUACGUAAUGAUUGGUCGCAAUUCCUUUUAGGAUAAGUAAAACAUGUAUGCAGUUUUGUAGCCGAAAUAAAAAUAUUUUGAAA
This is a long non-coding RNA of Lineus longissimus, 498 nucleotides long. RefSeq lists it as uncharacterized. Lineage: Eukaryota; Metazoa; Nemertea; Pilidiophora; Heteronemertea; Lineidae. The record is from RefSeq and is a predicted model, not a curated record. The transcript has 2 exons.